GCGGGUGUAGCUCAGUUGGUUAGAGCGCCGGCCUGUCACGCCGGAGGUCGCGGGUUCGAGCCCCGUCACUCGCGCCU
This 77-nucleotide transfer RNA is filed under the name Sphingomonas sp. Leaf42. RNAcentral's name for it is "tRNA-Asp". It matches the Rfam family "tRNA". From Rfam's summary of the family: Transfer RNA (tRNA) molecules are approximately 80 nucleotides in length. Their secondary structure includes four short double-helical elements and three loops (D, anti-codon, and T loops). The record is from RNAcentral. Lineage: Bacteria; Pseudomonadati; Pseudomonadota; Alphaproteobacteria; Sphingomonadales; Sphingomonadaceae.